UACGGAGGGAGCUAGCGUUUUUCGGAUUUACUGGGCGUAAAGAGCGCGUAGGCGGUCAAUUAAGUUGAAAGUGAAAUCCCAAAGCUUAACUUUGGAACUGCUUUCAAAACUGAUUGACUAGAGUGUGAUAGGGGAUGGUGGAAUUCCUAGUGUAGAGGUGAAAUUCUUAGAUAUUAGGAGGAACACCGGGGGCGAAGGCGACCAUCUGGAUCACUACUGACGCUAAGGUGCGAAAGCGUGGGGAGCAAACAGG
Molecule: ribosomal RNA, 253 nt
Filed under: uncultured bacterium
Lineage: Bacteria
Description: partial 16S ribosomal RNA
Rfam family: Bacterial small subunit ribosomal RNA
Source: RNAcentral